GGGUUAGCAAGUUGGUCGUGCCAAUGGUAUGUACUGGCUCGCUGAUUCCUCCUUCUUGUAGAACCGUAAUGCCAUUAAUUUAGUGUUGCGGGGAAACAGGACUGUUACUUUGAAAAAAUUAGAGUGUUUAAAGCAGGCUAGCGCCUGAAUACAUUAGCAUGGAAUAAUGAAAUAGGACGUUCGAACCUAUUUUGUUGGUUUCUAGGAUCAACGUAAUGAUUAAUAGGGAUAGUUGGGGGCAUUAGUAUUCAAUUGUCAGAGGUGAAAUUCUUGGAUUUAUUGAAGACUAACUACUGCGAAAGCAUUUGCCAAGGAUGUUUUCAUUAAUCAAGAACGAAAGUUAGGGGAUCGAAGACGAUCAGAUACCGUCGUAGUCUUAACCAUAAACUAUGCCGACUAGGGAUCGGAUGAUGUUAAUUUUUUAAUGACUCAUUCGGCGCCUUACGGGAAACCAAAGUGUUUGGGUUCCGGGGGGAGUAUGGUCGCAAGGCUGAAACUUAAAGGAAUUGACGGAAGGGCACCACCAGGGGUGGAGCCUGCGGCUUAAUUUGACUCAACACGGGGAAACUCACCAGGUCCAGACAUAGUAAGGAUUGACAGAUUGAGAGC
This 609-nucleotide ribosomal RNA is filed under the name Glomus sp. ZJ. RNAcentral's name for it is "SSU rRNA". It matches the Rfam family "Eukaryotic small subunit ribosomal RNA", at positions 644 to 1255 of the family's 1831-position model. The record is from RNAcentral. Lineage: Eukaryota; Fungi; Glomeromycota; Glomeromycetes; Glomerales; Glomeraceae.